GGUUUCGUGGCCCAAUGGCAAGGCGUCUGACUACGAGGAGAAUCCAUCGCGACAACGACGAGUUGGAGAGAAUGGCUGCUUUCACGAUAAUCAGGAGAUUCUGGGUUCGACCCCCAGCGAGAUCA
Molecule: non-coding RNA, 125 nt
Organism: Nemania serpens
Lineage: Eukaryota; Fungi; Ascomycota; Sordariomycetes; Xylariales; Xylariaceae
Source: the annotation of a GenBank genome assembly